This 312-nucleotide ribosomal RNA is filed under the name Chthamalus challengeri. Its description in RNAcentral is "partial 12S ribosomal RNA". Lineage: Eukaryota; Metazoa; Arthropoda; Thecostraca; Balanomorpha; Chthamalidae. The record is from RNAcentral.
GUAUUAAUAAAGAAAUUUAGCGGAUUUGGCGGCAAGAUAGCCCAUUUAGAGGAACCUGCCCUGUAAACGAUGAGCCACGAAAGGCCCUACUUUAUUUUGUAAUCAGUUUGUAUACCGCUGUUGUCAGUCAGUUUUAAUAGAAAACUUUCCAUAAUGAUAAUAAUCAUUGACUUCAAGUAAAGGUGCAGCUUAUAAUAAAGUUAGAGGUGGGUUACAAUUUAAAGAAAAAAAACGAACAAUAAUAUUAAAAAUUAUUUGAAGGUGGAUUUAAUGGUAAAGUUUUAGCAAACUUGACGAGAGCACUAACUUGUG